UUUUUUAAAAAAAGAAUAUACCAUUGGGAAAAAAAUUCAAGACUAGGGCGCGAACACAGGGCGCCGGGAUUGCAGAGGAGCCUCAGAGGACUACGCUUCCCAGGAGGCUCUGCGCUGACUGCCCCGGCCUCCCGACAGGCUCCGCGCGCUUUCCGCGCCAGCUUUGGCCUCAGCCCGCGAGCGCGGGGGGUAGCGAAGAACAAUGCAGAGCGGCGAUGAGCAAGCCCUCGACAAGCGGCGCGUCCACCUGCGCCCUGUUACGCUGCGCGAUCCGGUCCCCGUCUCGCUGCACCUUCUGCCCUGCGAGGUGCCGGUUAACCGGCCGGCCCCCGUGGGGCGCUUCUUCACCCCUGCCAUCCGCCAGGGUCCCGACGGACUGGAAGCGUCGUUCCGGGGCCGCAGUCUCCGCGGCGAGGAGGUGGUGGUGCCGCCCGGCUUUGUGGGUUACGUGAUGAUAGAAGAGAAGGGAGAGGUGUCGCUGGGGAAGCAGGAAGAUGACAGCGAGCAAGAGGAGCAGGAACCGGUGGAACCCCCGGAGGCGCUGGAGCGGGACUUCGACCGCUUUAUUGAAGCCACAGGCGGCUUUAGCAGCUUCACCCUGUGGGGCCUAGAGACAGUCCCCGGUCCGGAUGCCAAAGUGCGUGGGGCCCUAACCUGGCCCAGCCUCGCUGCAGCGAGUAUCUGGGCCACCCAGUCACUACGCUGAAGAAAUCCAAUAGUAGAGGUGAUUCCUGUUGCAGAUUCACGCACAGGUACCUGAGGACUGAGAACCAGAGCUUGAAACUGAAAGUCACUGAUCCCUUCACCCCAAUAAAUCGCUUCUUCACUUUGGAGCCUGAUUCCGUCACCCCAAUAAAGGAGCUCUUCACAGAACCUGUCAGUUUGCCAGCACCUUGGAGCCCGGCCCUGAGAUGUCUCCAGUACUUCUACAAGCCCUUCUUCACCCUCAGUCGUAACAAGCCUUGUGCUGGAUUGUAGCCCUUUCUGUCCUCCCCUGAUUCGUCUUUACUAGCCAGUGUGACCCUCUUGCCCAACUUCCUGUGGCCUCCACCAAGCAGCCGGUGGGGAGAGUAGAGAGGCUUGUGCUUUGGAGGAAGGACGCAUGGAAGAGGAAAGGGGCACGCCUGAGUUCUUAUGCAGCUUUGCUGGGAGUGCAUGCAGAGUCCUGACAGAUCCCCUGGAGGCCACGCUUGCCACCUCAGCUGCUGGAACUCCUAGCCCCUCCCAGUAAACACCCACCCACCCUCUGAAGCUGCCUGGAAUGCUGCUUCUGGUGUCCUGCCUGCUCCUGCUGGGCACAUCUCCUCGGUGGCCCUGCACACAUCCCAUUUCCACUGAGGUCCGAGCUCCAAGACUUAGACCGAGUUGAAGCAUCCACCUGCUCUACCAGGCAGAGGGCUUCCUGAGGAUGUGACCCCCAUCUUGGCAUCUCUCUACCAAUAAAAUGUC
Molecule: RNA transcript, 1449 nt
Organism: Hippopotamus amphibius kiboko
Lineage: Eukaryota; Metazoa; Chordata; Mammalia; Artiodactyla; Hippopotamidae
Gene: RNASEH2C
Gene name: ribonuclease H2 subunit C
Exons: 5
Source: RefSeq, a predicted model, not a curated record